Ceratitis capitata (Mediterranean fruit fly) is the source of this 705-nucleotide long non-coding RNA. RefSeq lists it as uncharacterized. NCBI's taxonomy places the organism in Eukaryota, Metazoa, Arthropoda, Insecta, Diptera, Tephritidae. The record is from RefSeq and is a predicted model, not a curated record. The transcript is spliced from 2 exons.
UGACCAACAUUUUUAAAAAAGUAUAAUUUGUUUAAACGCCGUAGCCAGUACAACGGCUACAAGACUGUUAAGGCUCUUAAGAACGCAACAAUGCAAGCAGCCAAUUAAUCAGUGUUACCUGUGUAGUGCAAACCAAUUUUUUCCCCUCAAAAUAAAAUUUUAACACAUUCCCAGGGCACAAGUGUCAACGUAAAAUUGAAAAAAUAUAUAGAAAAUAAUCAGAGUAAAAAUUUUCUACGACAAUAAAUAUUAAUACAAAAUCGGAAACAAAGUCCAAUCAGCCGUCAAGCGAGUGUAGUUUAGCUAAGACCAUACAUACUAUAUACAUAUGUAUGCACUGGCGUACAUACAUACUAAAGUGACAAAUAGUAGUGAAAACGAUUCCACCGCUACUAUCACUAACAAAUUGACCAGCAAAGUGCUUGCCAAUAAAUAUUCGCGCUCUAAACGCACAUUCAUACCUACAUACAUAUAUAUCUGUCACCUCCACAGUAUCUGCUGCCUGCUGCUGGUUGCCAGUGCAUUGUUGUUACAGCUGUGAUUAUAUGCCGAUUGAGCGUAUGUCAGCGUGAGCUAAAUUAUGUAAAAAGUGCAAAAAAUUCUGUAGCUGAUGCAACAUCUGAUAACAGCAACAACAAAUGUGAGAACACGGAACUAACUACCGGGAAACUGAUAAAUAACGACAAAAGCAACGAUUACAAAAGG